This 309-nucleotide unclassified non-coding RNA is filed under the name plant metagenome. Its description in RNAcentral is "partial contains 5.8S ribosomal RNA, internal transcribed spacer 2, and large subunit ribosomal RNA". The stretch from base 1 to 105 matches the Rfam family "5.8S ribosomal RNA", at positions 50 to 154 of the family's 154-position model. The record is from RNAcentral.
GAAAUGCGAUAAGUAGUGUGAAUUGCAGAAUUCAGUGAAUCAUCGAAGCUUGGAACGCACAUUGCGCCCCUUGGUAUUCCAUGGGGCAUGCCUGUUCGAGCAUCAUUUGUACCCUCAAGCUCUCCUUGGUGUUGGGUGUUUGUCCCGUCUCCGCGCGUGGACUCGCCCCAAAGUGAUUGGCAGCCGGCGUACUGGUCCCGGAGCGCAGCACAUGUCGCGCAAACGAGUGCCUUGGUACGGCGGCGUCCAUAAGCCCCUCUCUCACGCUCUUGACCUCGGAUCAGGUAGGGAUACCCGCUGAACUUAAGC